AACGAACGCUGGCGGCGCGCCUAAUACAUGCAAGUCGAGCGAGAAGACGUAGCAAUACGUUUGUAAAGCGGCGAACGGGUGAGGAAUACAUGGGUAACCUACCCUCGAGUGGGGAAUAACUAGCCGAAAGGUUAGCUAAUACCGCGUACGCUCCUUGGACUUCGGUUCAGGGAGGAAAGCGAUACCGUGGGUAUCGCGCUCUUGGAUGGGCUCAUGUCCUAUCAGCUUGUUGGUGAGGUAACGGCUCACCAAGGCUUCGACGGGUAGCUGGUCUGAGAGGACGAUCAGCCACACUGGCACUGCGACACGGGCCAGACUCCUACGGGAGGCAGCAGUAAGGAAUAUUGCGCAAUGGGCGAAAGCCUGACGCAGCGACGCCGCGUGGGGGAGUGAAGGUCUUCGGAUUGUAAACCCCUUUCGGGUAGGGAAGAUGGAACGAGCAAUCGUUCGGACGGUACCUCCAGAAGCAGCCACGGCUAACUUCGUGCCAGCAGCCGCGGU
RNAcentral lists this ribosomal RNA (501 nucleotides) under uncultured bacterium. RNAcentral describes it as "bacterial SSU rRNA". It matches the Rfam family "Bacterial small subunit ribosomal RNA", at positions 29 to 521 of the family's 1533-position model. The record is from RNAcentral.